CAGCCGCCAAGUCUCAAAACACCUCCAAUCAACAAGCCCUGCGACAAGGCAGUACACCUCAAGAAGUACAGGAAGCAGAUAUGCCUCAAGAGCAGGUUUCUACAGGCUGCAAUCGCCGAGGGUUGUACUUACCAACACAGCAUUAUGUUUUGGAAUCUGAAGACAAAGAAGAGCCAAU
This 178-nucleotide non-coding RNA is filed under the name Chattonella subsalsa. Lineage: Eukaryota; Raphidophyceae; Chattonellales; Chattonellaceae. The record is from RNAcentral.